UCCUACGGGAGGCAGCAGUGGGGAAUUUUGCACAAUGGGGGGAAGCCUGAUGCAGCGACGCCGCGUGGAGGAUGAAGGCCUUCGGGUUGUAAACUCCUUUUGUAGGGGACAAUGAUGAUGGUACCCUAGGAAUAAGCCACGGAUAACUUUGUGCCAGCAGCCGCGGUAAGACAGAGGUGGCGAGCGUUGUUCGGAAUCACUGGGCUUAAAGGGCGCGUAGGUGGCAGUGCAAGUGUGAGGUGGAAUCCUGGGGCUUAACCCGAGAAGCUGCCUUGGAAACUGCAUUUCGAGAGUCAGAGAGGGGAGGGGAAUUUUCCGGGUGUAGCGGUGAAAUGUGUAGAUAUCGGGGAAAACCCCUGUGGAGAAGGCGGCCCUGGGGCGCUGCAGACACGGUGAGGCGAGAAAGCGUGGGGAGCAAACAGGAUUAGAUCCCCGGGUUGUCCACGCCCUAAACGGUGGGCAAUAGGUGUAGGGCUCGUAAGGGUUCUGUGCCGAAGAAACC
This 502-nucleotide ribosomal RNA is filed under the name uncultured Nitrospira sp. RNAcentral's name for it is "bacterial SSU rRNA". It matches the Rfam family "Bacterial small subunit ribosomal RNA", at positions 337 to 856 of the family's 1533-position model. The record is from RNAcentral. Lineage: Bacteria; Pseudomonadati; Nitrospirota; Nitrospiria; Nitrospirales; Nitrospiraceae.